UAGACAUUCUCCUCUGAGAAGACAUCCUCUGAGGAAGAAAGAGGCUCAGGGAUGAGCUCAGAGAAAAACCGAAAGGACAAAGUUCAGAGGCUUAGCAAGGCAUUUAUUUGAUGCUAUUACCAUGACUGUUAACCAUGAGCGAUGCUGAAGAUACUGCCAAGAACAAGAUAAACAUGACCUCCGACUCCAGGGAGGUUAUACUUCCAGGCCCCUGUCUGCUCGUGUAUGAAUGAAGGAGCCACUGACAAAGUUGUGACAGGAAAAAAGAUGAGCUGAGAUCAUCUGAAUGGGCUGAGACGGUCUGUUUCAAGGUGGACUCUUCAGCUACUUCCCAC
Molecule: long non-coding RNA, 335 nt
Organism: Meriones unguiculatus (Mongolian gerbil)
Lineage: Eukaryota; Metazoa; Chordata; Mammalia; Rodentia; Muridae
Exons: 3
Source: RefSeq, a predicted model, not a curated record